AUUGUUGGUGAGGUAAUGGCUCACCAAGUCGAUGAUCUUUAACUGGUUUGAGAAGAUGAUCAGUCAGACUGGAACUGAGAAACGGUCCAGACUCCUACGGGAGGCAGCAGUUAGGAAUAUUCCACAAUGGGCGAAAGCCUGACGCAGCGACGCCGCGUGGGGGAUGAAGGCCUUCGGGUUGUAAACCCCUUUCAGCAGGGACGAAGCGAAAGUGACGGUACCUGCAGAAGAAGCGCCGGCUAACUACGUGCCAGCAGCCGCGGUAACACGUAGGGCGCAAGCGUUGUCCGGAAUUAUUGGGCGUAAAGAGCUCGUAGGCGGUCUGUUGCGUCCGCUGUGAAAACUCGGGGCUUAACCCCGAGCCUGCAGUGGAUACGGGCAGACUAGAGGUAGGUAGGGGAGAAUGGAAUUCCCGGUGUAGCGGUGAAAUGCGCAGAUAUCGGGAGGAACACCGGUGGCGAAGGCGGUUCUCUGGGCCUUACCUGACGCUGAGGAGCGAAAGCGUGGGGAGCGAACAGGAUUAGAUACCCUGGUAGUCCACGCCGUAAACGUUGGGCGCUAGGUGUGGGAUCCUUCCACGGAUUCCGUGCCGCAGCUAACGCAUUAAGCGCCCCGCCUGGGGAGUACGGCCGCAAGGCUAAAACUCAAAGGAAUUGACG
RNAcentral lists this ribosomal RNA (659 nucleotides) under uncultured Actinomycetes bacterium. RNAcentral's name for it is "SSU rRNA". It matches the Rfam family "Bacterial small subunit ribosomal RNA", at positions 245 to 915 of the family's 1533-position model. The record is from RNAcentral. Lineage: Bacteria; Bacillati; Actinomycetota; Actinomycetes.